RNAcentral lists this ribosomal RNA (520 nucleotides) under uncultured Glomus. Its description in RNAcentral is "SSU rRNA". It matches the Rfam family "Eukaryotic small subunit ribosomal RNA", at positions 569 to 1087 of the family's 1831-position model. Lineage: Eukaryota; Fungi; Glomeromycota; Glomeromycetes; Glomerales; Glomeraceae. The record is from RNAcentral.
AGCAGCCGCGGUAAUUCCAGCUCCAAUAGCGUAUAUUAAAGUUGUUGCAGUUAAAAAGCUCGUAGUUGAAUUUCGGGGUUAGUAGGUUGGUCGUGCCACUGGUACGUACUGGUCUCACUGAUUCCUCCUUCCUGAUGAACUGUAAUGCCAUUAAUUUGGUGUUGCAGGGAAACUGGACUGUUACUUUGAAAAAAUUAGAGUGUUUAAAGCAAGCUAACGCUUGAAUACAUUAGCAUGGAAUAAUGAAAUAGGACGUUCGAUCCUAUUUUGUUGGUUUCUAGGAUUGACGUAAUGAUUAAUAGGGAUAGUUGGGGGCAUUAGUAUUCAAUUGUCAGAGGUGAAAUUCUUGGAUUUAUUGAAGACUAACUACUGCGAAAGCAUUUGCCAAGGAUGUUUUCAUUAAUCAAGAACGAAAGUUAGGGGAUCGAAGACGAUCAGAUACCGUCGUAGUCUUAACCAUAAACUAUGCCGACUAGGGAUCGGAUGAUGUUAAAUUUUUUUAAAUGACUCGUUCGGCGCC